This 699-nucleotide ribosomal RNA is filed under the name Salmonella enterica subsp. enterica serovar Typhimurium. RNAcentral's name for it is "partial 23S ribosomal RNA". It matches the Rfam family "Bacterial large subunit ribosomal RNA", at positions 602 to 1230 of the family's 2925-position model. Lineage: Bacteria; Pseudomonadati; Pseudomonadota; Gammaproteobacteria; Enterobacterales; Enterobacteriaceae. The record is from RNAcentral.
UACCUUUUGUAUAAUGGGUCAGCGACUUAUAUUCUGUAGCAAGGUUAACCGAAUAGGGGAGCCGGAGGGAAACCGAGUCUUAAUUGGGCGUUAAGUUGCAGGGUAUAGACCCGAAACCCGGUGAUCUAGCCAUGGGCAGGUUGAAGGUUGGGUAACACUAACUGGAGGACCGAACCGACUAAUGUUGAAAAAUUAGCGGAUGACCUGUGGCUGGGGGUGAAAGGCCAAUCAAACCGGGAGAUAGCUGGUUCUCCCCGAAAGCUAUUUAGGUAGCGCCUCGUGAAUUCAUCUCCGGGGGUAGAGCACUGUUUCGGCUAGGGGGCCAUCCCGGCUUACCAACCCGAUGCAAACUGCGAAUACCGGAGAAUGUUAUCACGGGAGACACACGGCGGGUGCUAACGUCCGUCGUGAAGAGGGAAACAACCCAGACCGCCAGCUAAGGUCCCAAAGUCAUGGUUAAGUGGGAAACGAUGUGGGAAGGCCCAGACAGCCAGGAUGUUGGCUUAGAAGCAGCCAUCAUUUAAAGAAAGCGUAAUAGCUCACUGGUCGAGUCGGCCUGCGCGGAAGAUGUAACGGGGCUAAACCAUGCACCGAAGCUGCGGCAGCGAACGUAUCACCCAAGACAACUUUACGGAGUUGACGAUUGACGGAGCGAAGCGACGUCAAAGCGUUCAUUAAAGUCGAGUUGGCUUAGGGAUA